Molecule: transfer RNA, 82 nt
Filed under: Phaeophyceae sp.
Lineage: Eukaryota; Phaeophyceae
Description: tRNA-Leu
Rfam family: tRNA
About the family: Transfer RNA (tRNA) molecules are approximately 80 nucleotides in length. Their secondary structure includes four short double-helical elements and three loops (D, anti-codon, and T loops).
Source: RNAcentral
GCCAGGGUGGUGAAAUUGGUAUAGAUGCUGGUUUCAGGUUCCAGUCCUCCACAGGAUAGGGGUUCGAAUCCUCUCUUUGGCA